UCUUGGUCCCUGCACAAUGUGAAGUUGUGAACCCCGUCAGGACCGGAAGGUAGCAGCGGUAGCGAUGUAACAUGUGUGCUAGUGUGGCUAAGAGGC
This 96-nucleotide signal recognition particle RNA is filed under the name Francisellaceae bacterium. Its description in RNAcentral is "signal recognition particle sRNA small type". It matches the Rfam family "Bacterial small signal recognition particle RNA". From Rfam's summary of the family: The signal recognition particle (SRP) is a universally conserved ribonucleoprotein involved in the co-translational targeting of proteins to membranes. Archaeal SRP consists of a 7S RNA and homologues of the eukaryotic SRP19 and SRP54 proteins. The record is from RNAcentral. Lineage: Bacteria; Pseudomonadati; Pseudomonadota; Gammaproteobacteria; Thiotrichales; Francisellaceae.